AUUGAACGCUGGCGGCAUGCCUUACACAUGCAAGUCGAACGGUAACGGGCCUUCGGGUGCCGACGAGUGGCGAACGGGUGAGUAAUACAUCGGAACGUGCCCGAUCGUGGGGGAUAACGAGGCGAAAGCUUUGCUAAUACCGCAUACGAUCUACGGAUGAAAGCAGGGGACCGCAAGGCCUUGCGCGGACGGAGCGGCCGAUGGCAGAUUAGGUAGUUGGUGGGAUAAAAGCUUACCAAGCCGACGAUCUGUAGCUGGUCUGAGAGGAUGAUCAGCCACACUGGGACUGAGACACGGCCCAGACUCCUACGGGAGGCAGCAGUGGGGAAUUUUGGACAAUGGGCGCAAGCCUGAUCCAGCCAUGCCGCGUGCAGGAUGAAGGCCUUCGGGUUGUAAACUGCUUUUGUACGGAACGAAAAGCCUUCUUUUAAUACAGGAGGGUCAUGACGGUACCGUAAGAAUAAGCACCGGCCAACUACGUG
RNAcentral lists this ribosomal RNA (482 nucleotides) under uncultured bacterium. Its description in RNAcentral is "partial 16S ribosomal RNA". It matches the Rfam family "Bacterial small subunit ribosomal RNA", at positions 30 to 507 of the family's 1533-position model. The record is from RNAcentral.